AAAGGCCCCCCGCGUGGCGGCACCUCGGUGAACUCCCCUAGAUCGGAAACGAAGCAAGGGUAGCCGGGCUCUGCUGGGUACGCGGGGGGUCUUUGCU
Molecule: signal recognition particle RNA, 97 nt
Filed under: Leucobacter sp. cx-87
Lineage: Bacteria; Bacillati; Actinomycetota; Actinomycetes; Micrococcales; Microbacteriaceae
Also listed under: 1 other name
Description: Bacterial small signal recognition particle RNA
Rfam family: Bacterial small signal recognition particle RNA
About the family: The signal recognition particle (SRP) is a universally conserved ribonucleoprotein involved in the co-translational targeting of proteins to membranes.
Source: Rfam by way of RNAcentral